CUUGGAUCCAGCCUAUCCGGAUCCCUCUGUAGAGCCUUCCUACCCUCACAUAUAUUGGCACUUCUGCCCAACUUGGUGUUGCCUGCAAAAAGAUAACCUUCUGUGUCUGCUUUGAAAAGGAACUAAGGAUCUUCAGGGCCUCUAAUGCCUUCCAGCAUGAGUAAGAUCAAAUGAAAAAGAAGGUAUGAAAAAACAGGGGACAGUGAAGGGAAGUCAGAGGCAGAAGCCACACUCUAGUCUCACAGACGAGGAAAAAGAAUCAAAAUGAUGAUGCUAUACUUAAGUUCUUAUGUAGCUGAUGAUCCAAGGAGAAGGGUAGCAAACACCUCCUAGUCUGUUCUGAGGCAGUGUUGCAGGACAGAGGAACAGCACGGAAAUGGUAAAAUACAGCCUCA
Ficedula albicollis (Collared flycatcher) is the source of this 395-nucleotide long non-coding RNA. RefSeq lists it as uncharacterized. Lineage: Eukaryota; Metazoa; Chordata; Aves; Passeriformes; Muscicapidae. The record is from RefSeq and is a predicted model, not a curated record. The transcript is spliced from 4 exons.